UUUCCAAAUGGUAUCUAAACAACUGGACUUGCAAAAGAUUAAAACACAACCUAUUAGUCCAGCGCAGAAAAAAUAUAACCCCAAACGUUCUUGCAAUAACAGCACAUUACUGAUAGAGUGGAGACUGCAGUGCCAUUCUUCUACCCCAUAAUUCUCUUUUAUUUCAUUAAACUCCUUCUGCAACACAAAGAGAUUGUUAUGUGAAGUAGGUGAAUAAUUUCUGCAUAAUAUUUUCCAAAAAUGCAUGAAUAAAGAAGACGAAAUACAUAGGCUUUGCUUGCAGAAAUGGCACUUAGCCCUUGAGAAGCAUCAAAGAAACUUAGAAGUGUGGGACAAUGAGCAAAUUUUCCAACACAGACCUUGCGCACUGCAGCCCUGCCCCUGUAGUCUCCCUUUGAGGCAUGUGGAUGUUUGCAUAUUUUGAUGGGCACGAUGACAGCCUUACCAACUGAUAGGAGCUUCAUCCUGAGUUCUGCUGAGAAAUAACAGUAAAGCUGUAUUUGGAUGCUACAUGAACUCAAUUAUCCCCUUCUUUAGAAACAAUGCAACGAGAGACGCCUCUGUCUUGCUGGUCAGCAUCCUAAGAGACAUCUGGGUGGUGUGGCAGGUGCCUUGGACAAAGAAGUGGGCACCUAAACCCAAGUGUGUAAUGAGUGCAUGCUGCCACCCACCUGAAGUACAGCCAUGGAGAGCAAUGACUCCGGUGACACCUUCCUUAUGUACUGAGUCUGGGGGGAUCAGUCCGGGACUGAUGCACCUUCAAGGUGUUGAUGCUGCACGCCUAGGACAGGCCCUCCAGUGCUGCCCACGAUGGAUGGUUUUGCUGCACUGUCAUUUGCACUUAGUGAUUUCCAACGUACCUAGCCUAAGUUUAUGAUGUAGGGAAAAACCCAGUAAGGAAUAAUAUGAAAAUAAAAGAGACCUGAAUGAA
Cygnus atratus (black swan) is the source of this 931-nucleotide long non-coding RNA. RefSeq lists it as uncharacterized. NCBI's taxonomy places the organism in Eukaryota, Metazoa, Chordata, Aves, Anseriformes, Anatidae. The record is from RefSeq and is a predicted model, not a curated record. The transcript has 2 exons.